Molecule: long non-coding RNA, 865 nt
Filed under: Erythranthe guttata (spotted monkey flower)
Lineage: Eukaryota; Viridiplantae; Streptophyta; Magnoliopsida; Lamiales; Phrymaceae
Description: long non-coding RNA (EGUT_LNC002344)
Source: RNAcentral
UGGGGGAUAAGUAUAAUAAAUAUUUUUAUAAACUUGGCAAUCAAGUUUAUGACUUGGUAAUCCCCGAUAAAUACGUCUCUCGUCUUCUCUCUUUCUCUAUCCCCUCUCUUUCUCUCUCGCCUACUCUCUUCUUUUCUCUCUCGGUUCUUGGCUGAAUUCGAGAAAUUAAUUGAAGAAAACUCGAAUUCAAGAAGGGGUUUGAAGAAGUGAGGUAUAUGAAACAAAUUUGAGGUUGGAAUUGCAAAUCCCCAAUUCGAAUUAUUGGCAGAAUUAGGGCUGCGUGAAGGAGGCUCUAUCAAGGGGCUAUUAUGAUCAGAUCGCCUCCGGUGGUGGUCGCAUCAGAUGAUUGGCGGUGGUGGCCGGAAUCCGACGAAGAAGACAAGCUGUCUUAGAAUCGGAUUUCAGCUUUUGGUCCUUCGAAGAAUUAAUUGCUCGGAGGCCUUAGAGGUUGAAUAUUGACGAUCAGGACACACGGUUAGAAACCUUGAGAUGUUAGCCUUCCAUUGGUGUUGGAGCUCGGUAGUAUUAAACAGCGGUGGUUGCCGGAAUUGGGCAAGAAGUUCAGCCCGCUCGCCGGAACCUUGAAGGAAAUAGUAUUUGCUGCCGCACCUGUUUUCGGAGCAGAAUUUGGAGGGUUUGGAGUGAGAAUUUGGGAAUCAUUCCUUCACAAAACUCGUAGAGGACCUCGAAAACUAUUGGUAAGUGUAAAAUUGUAUAGAGUUAGAAUAUGUUUUGAAGCUGAUUAGAGGUCCGAAUUAAGUGACGGUAAAUCUGUAAAAACAGGGCAGUUUUGAAUAUUCUUCUUACGAGGCCGUUUUUGCUAUGUUGAGCUAAUAAUUUGGGUUGUGUGCCUUCUGAGAACUUG